Long non-coding RNA from Cotesia glomerata, 630 nucleotides. RefSeq lists it as uncharacterized. The record is from RefSeq and is a predicted model, not a curated record. NCBI's taxonomy places the organism in Eukaryota, Metazoa, Arthropoda, Insecta, Hymenoptera, Braconidae. The transcript is spliced from 4 exons.
UUUAAUAUUUUUUAUCAGCUGUCAAAAUUAAUUUUUUAAGCACUAUUAUGAAUUUAAACAAUUUUAACAAUCAGCUGACAUUUGACAAAUAAUUAUUUUGUUUACAAACAUUUCACAAGUUAACCUAGUGAUGCAUAAUUACGCUUUGCUGUCAAAUAUAAGUUCCGGCAAGACUGAUCCCAGAUCAGUACUUUCUAAACAAUGCUACUUAAUUUUUAUUGUCAAGAUCGUUUAUUACAUAAUACUGUACAAAUCCGUCACGUCACCUUGAAAAUAAAUUACAUGACCUUUUCCUUCAUUCAGAUGUUCAUGUGAAAUAAAAAUAUAGAACUCGAGUGGCCUUGAUCAGUUUGUUCAAUACCAGGGUUCAAGACAAAAUGCCAUUUGUCAUUGUCUAUGUCAUAAUGACUAUUAAAUCGAUGAUACUAUUAAUCUAGUAUAUAUUUUAACAGUAUAUAGAUCUGUUUAUUAUUUAUACUCAGGCACAGAGCCAAGUUUUAUCGCAAGAAUUUAUCGCUCUUAAAUUUGAAUUUCUUUUUUUUUUUGAGCUUUAUUAAAGCCCCCAAAGACUGAGUAAUUAAUUUCUUCAGCCAACAAUAGUCCUGCAGCAAUGUGUCGAAGGUAUAAGGA